AGAGUUUGAUCAUGGCUCAGGAUGAACGCUGGCGGCGUGCCUAACACAUGCAAGUCGAACGAAGAGGCCCCUUCGGGGGUACUUCAGUGGCGGACGGGUGGGUAACACGUAGGCGACCUGCCCCGAAGCAGGGGAUAACGGCCCGAAAGGGCCGCUAAUACCCAAAAGGGUCACGAGUCACAUCGUGAUCAGAGUUACGGCGUUUCGGGAGGGGCCUGCGGCCCAUCAGCUAGUUGGUAGGGUAACGGCCUACCAAGGCAACGACGGGUAGGGGGCCUGAGAGGGUGAUCCCCCACAUUGGCACUGACACACGGGCCAAACUCCUACGGGAGGCAGCAGUGAGGAAUAUUGCACAAUGAGCGAAAGCUAGAUGCAGCAACGCCGCGUGGACGAUGAAGGCCUUCGGGUCGUAAAGUCCUUUUCAGGGGGACGAGUGAGGACGGUACCUCUGGAAUAAGUCACGGCUAACUACGUGCCAGCAGCCGCGGUAAAACGUAGGUGGCGAGCGUUAUCCGGAUUCACUGGGCGUAAAGCGCCUGCAGGCGGUCUCGUAAGUGGGAUGUGAAAUCUCUUGGCUCAACUGGGAGGGGCCAUUCCAUACUGCGGGACUUGAGGGCAGAAGAGGGAAGCGGAAUUCCCGGUGUAGUGGUGAAAUGCGUAGAUAUCGGGAGGAACACCAGUGGCGAAGGCGGCUUCCUGGCCUGCUCCUGACGCUAAGAGGCGAAAGCUAGGGGAGCGAACGGGAUUAGAAACCCCGGUAGUCCUAGCCGUAAACGAUGGAUACUGGGUGUCGGCGGUCCUAACCCCGUCGGUGCCGAAGCAAANCGCGUUAAGUAUCCCGCCUGGGGACUACGGCCGCAAUUGAAAAACUCAAAUGAAUUGACGG
RNAcentral lists this ribosomal RNA (886 nucleotides) under uncultured bacterium. RNAcentral's name for it is "bacterial SSU rRNA". It matches the Rfam family "Bacterial small subunit ribosomal RNA", at positions 8 to 916 of the family's 1533-position model. The record is from RNAcentral.